Molecule: long non-coding RNA, 831 nt
Organism: Apis cerana (Asiatic honeybee)
Lineage: Eukaryota; Metazoa; Arthropoda; Insecta; Hymenoptera; Apidae
Source: RefSeq, a predicted model, not a curated record
CUAUCCUGGAAAAUCGGCGCAUGCGCAACUUACCACUACGAUAUUUACACAUACACACAACUAUGUUCGCGUCAUCGGCGCAGUUAUCCACCGCUUCACUCUCCCUAUGCCCUUCCAUUUGACACGAUACUACUUGCCGGUGACCUACACUUCAUUCCUUUCCCGAUUCCUUCGUGAAAUUAUCGAAAUACAUGUCAAAUACCAGGCGUACGUACCAAAGGGAGGUAGGAAUCCUUCAAGCACUAAUCUUAACAUUUAUCGACAUUUCAUAUCAUUUUUUUCGUACAUCACGGGUAUAUUGUAUAAGUUUAUUUUUACUUAUAUUCGCGUUUCUCACGAAAACUACGACUGCCGAUGACCUAUACACAUUUUUUUUCUCAAUUUUCUCGAAGAGAAACCAGCAAAUUGCUGAAAUACCUGGAAUAUAUGUGUGGUAACAGAGAUAGAAAUUCUUCACUCACCCACCAAUCUUUAUCAGUGUUUUAUAUCAACUUCGUGUUUCUGAUGUAUCAUAUAAUUUAGUUAAUUACAAUAAUGAUAUAAAAAGUGUAAUUGAAUUGCAUUUUUUGGAAAAAAUAAGUCCAAAAGAAAUUAAAUAAAGAUACGAAGGUUGGUGAGAUAAGGGUAAAUCAAUAAUGGACUCGGUGUUGAACCUAAAAUUUCUCUCAGCGCUACUGUAUUAGAUAUCAAAUUGAAGAAUUUACACGUAUAACGAUUACAAAUUUUUUUAUUCAGUUUAAAAAUUUAAUACAAAAUAAUUUUAUUAAUUUAUUCUUUUAUAUGAUCAAUAUUCUUUCAUUCGUAUUAUUAAUAAAAAUCGUUAUCAAAUUA